Molecule: ribosomal RNA, 238 nt
Filed under: uncultured bacterium
Lineage: Bacteria
Description: partial 16S ribosomal RNA
Rfam family: Bacterial small subunit ribosomal RNA
Source: RNAcentral
GCAAGUCGAGCGAGAAAUUGAUUGAGUUUACUUAAUUGAUAGAAAGCGGCGGACGAGCGAGUAGCACGUAAGAACCUGCCCUAUACUCGGGGAUAACGGCUCGAAAGAGUCGCUAAUACCGGAUGGUCUCGAAAGAGUAAAGAUUUAUCGGUAUAGGAGGGGCUUGCGGCUUAUCAGUUAGUUGGUGGGGUAAAGGCCUACCAAGACUAUGACGAGUAGCUGGUGUGAGAGCAUGACC